UCACAACCUACAUGAAUGGGGUA
RNAcentral lists this microRNA (23 nucleotides) under Eisenia fetida (common brandling worm). Its description in RNAcentral is "Efe-Mir-67-P1_3p (mature (guide))". The record is from RNAcentral. Lineage: Eukaryota; Metazoa; Annelida; Clitellata; Crassiclitellata; Lumbricidae.